GUCAGAAAGACUAAAUUAGGUCAUAAUAAUGGCUGCUGCCAGUGUCUCAGUCCCUGGAGGGGUGGGCCCGGCUGCCUCCUGCCUCUCCAAGAUGUCCUUAAGCUUAGCCUUUCACUGUCUUUUGUGUGGAUUGUUGCAUCAUUACUAGCUCACCUUUCCCCAGUUACUGGGCCAUACAGGUGGUGAGACAGGAGAAGUCCUGGUUUCCUUGAAUUUCAGACAAGAAGACUAAUUGACAAGGUCCUAUUUGGCUUCCUUGACAAAAAAUUAAGGCAGGACAAAAAUGUGGUUGUUAUUAAUUGUGGCAAGUUUGAUCUCUGCGUUUAGAACUACACAUGGUUUCUUUGGAAAAUUAAAUCCUGAAAACCUUGAAGUGACUGUAAAUAUUGUGAAGAAUCUGCAAUUGUGACUGAAGAUGGUUAUAUCCUUGAGAUCAACAGAAUUCCUUAUGGGAAGAAAAAUUCAGGCCAGACCUGUUGUGUUUUUGCAACAUGAUUUUCUCACAUUGGCCACAAACUGGAUUUCCAACCCUCCCAAUAACAGCCUGGACUUCCUUCUGGCAGAUGCUUGUUACGACGUGUGGCUGGGGAACAGCAGAGGAAAUAUUUGG
Molecule: long non-coding RNA, 610 nt
Filed under: Equus asinus (donkey)
Lineage: Eukaryota; Metazoa; Chordata; Mammalia; Perissodactyla; Equidae
Description: lncRNA (ENSEASG00005031983.1)
Source: RNAcentral